Molecule: ribosomal RNA, 253 nt
Filed under: uncultured bacterium
Lineage: Bacteria
Description: partial 16S ribosomal RNA
Rfam family: Bacterial small subunit ribosomal RNA
Source: RNAcentral
UACGGAGGGGGCUAGCGUUGUUCGGAAUUACUGGGCGUAAAGGGCGCGUAGGCGGACCACCAAGUCGGGGGUGAAAUCUUUCAGCUCAACUGGAAAAGAGCUUCCGAUACUGGUGGUCUCGAGGGAGGUAGGGGUCGAGGGAACUAAUGGUGGAGCGGUGAAAUGCGUAGAUAUCAUUAGGAACGCCGGUGGCGAAAGCGCUCGACUGGACCUCUUCUGACGCUGAGGCGCGAAAGCCAGGGGAGCAAACGGG